RNAcentral lists this ribosomal RNA (253 nucleotides) under uncultured bacterium. RNAcentral describes it as "partial 16S ribosomal RNA". It matches the Rfam family "Bacterial small subunit ribosomal RNA", at positions 524 to 776 of the family's 1533-position model. The record is from RNAcentral.
UACGUAGGGUGCAGGCGUUAAUCGGAAUUACUGGGCGUAAAGCGUGCGCAGGCGGUCUUUUAAGUCAGAUGUGAAAUCCCCGGGCUUAACCUGGGAACUGCGUUUGAAACUGGAAGGCUUGAGUGUGCCAGAGGGGGGUGGAAUUCCAGGUGUAGCAGUGAAAUGCGUAGAUAUCUGGAGGAACACCGAUGGCGAAGGCAGCCCCCUGGGCUAACACUGACGCUCAUGCACGAAAGCGUGGGGAGCAAACAGG